UACGUAGGGUGCAAGCGUUGUCCGGAAUUAUUGGGCGUAAAGAGCUCGUAGGCGGUUUGUUGCGUCGGCUGUGAAAUCCCGAGGCUCAACCUCGGGUCUGCAGUCGAUACGAGCAAACUAGAGUGUUGCAGGGGAGACUGGAAUUCCUGGUGUAGCGGUGAAAUGCGCAGAUAUCAGGAGGAACACCGGUGGCGAAGGCGGGUCUCUGGGCAACAACUGACGCUGAGGGGCGAAAGCGUGGGGAGCGAACAGG
This 253-nucleotide ribosomal RNA is filed under the name uncultured bacterium. RNAcentral's name for it is "partial 16S ribosomal RNA". It matches the Rfam family "Bacterial small subunit ribosomal RNA", at positions 524 to 776 of the family's 1533-position model. The record is from RNAcentral.